This is a long non-coding RNA of Panicum virgatum (switchgrass), 1310 nucleotides long. RefSeq lists it as uncharacterized. NCBI's taxonomy places the organism in Eukaryota, Viridiplantae, Streptophyta, Magnoliopsida, Poales, Poaceae. The transcript is spliced from 4 exons. The record is from RefSeq and is a predicted model, not a curated record.
UGGUGGCCCUCGUUCGCCCGUGAGGAUCUGUCCUUUUCCCUGAUUUUAUUUUUGUUUUGUAUUAAUUUAAUUAUGAUCUGGUUUUAUUUUAUUUUUUGGAUACAUUAAACUAGGACUAGUAGAUUUAUUAAAAGGUGGUUAUAAUCUUAUAAUACGAUGGCUGAAGAUUAAAACACGAGGAGAUUGUUUUUUUUUUUUGCAAAACGAUCGAGGAGAUGGUUUUUCCAGACUAAUUCCGUACUCAUAAUGCGGAGAACUCGUGGCGACGCUUUGGCGGCGGGAGGAGGAUCACGCUGCGGGGCGCGGAGGAGCUCCGUGGUGGCCACACACAGAUGGAUCCGGAGAAGGGGAGAGAAAGAGGGAAAAAAGUGAGGCCCACUCCAAUAAGCAGCUCUCUGUUUGAAUACUUUUGGAUUAGAUGAGUUUAAAAAAAAACUAAAUCUAACUCUAAUCUAUGGAUCCAAACAUGAUGCUUGUUUAAGGAGUCCAGUUGCAACAGGUUCCUUUAAUCAAAGGGAUAUAAACUCUCUCAUGCCUGUAGACCCGACCUGUGGCUAUGUCCAAAAUGAAUUUAUAUCUAUCCUGCCGCCGCUGCCGGGCCGGCCGCCCCUCCCUCCAACUUCCUUCCUCGGGUGCCCUCCAUCGCCGGAUCCGCCGAUGAGAGUGGGCAACCUCUGCUGAGAGGCAUCUAUGCCUACGAAAGGAAUUGGAGGAACCCAUACUGCUACCUCAAAGUAAUCAUGACGUGCAUAUAACGUCAGUUGGUGCUACAUUGGUUGCCAGCGCUGCGGCUUCCCCCCUCCCCGUGCCGCGUGGUGGCCUGCUCCGCGGCCGCGCCAUGGCCGCGAACAUUUGACCAGGGAACACCAUUGCGCGAAGCCAGAACAAGACUUUUCAGAGGUGAACCGUGCGGCACUGUGGUGGGCACCGGCCAGCCUGCUCUACGCCGGCAACCAGCUGCUGCUACUGCAGAACGAGGGCAUCGUCUAGGAAGCCAUCAACUCCCGUAAGUACGAGCUACUGCAGAGCGAGGGCAUCGUCUAGGAAGCCAUCAACUCCCCAAGCAGACAUUAUCAAAUUCUUGAGUUGAAGAAUCCAGGUCACAGGCCAUACAAAGCCUUCAGCAUGCAAUUCGAGGUUACCCAACAUGUGCAGAUUUAUGGGAGCUGGGUAUUCCCCCCCCCCCCCCUCUGGCCCUCUCCAGGUUUCCGGUUGUCAAAUUUUCUUAGCUCCAAGUUAUACAUGGUUUAUUGUCACCUCAUUACCCAGAGUCUCACAAUAUAAAUAGAUUCGUUUAUGAAGCGAGAUCA